This 550-nucleotide ribosomal RNA is filed under the name uncultured bacterium. RNAcentral describes it as "partial 16S ribosomal RNA". It matches the Rfam family "Bacterial small subunit ribosomal RNA", at positions 355 to 895 of the family's 1533-position model. The record is from RNAcentral.
UGGGGAAUAUUGCACAAUGGGCGCAAGCCUGAUGCAGCCAUGCCGCGUGUGUGAAGAAGGCCUUCGGUUGUAAAGCACUUUCAGCGAGGAGGAAGGUGGUGAGCUUAAUACGCUCAUCAAUUGACGUUACUCGCAGAAGAAGCACCGGCUAACUCCGUGCCAGCAGCCGCGGUAAUACGGAGGGUGCAAGCGUUAAUCGGAAUUACUGGGCGUAAAGCGCACGCAGGCGGUUUGUUAAGUCAGAUGUGAAAUCCCCGGGCUCAACCUGGGAACUGCAUUUGAAACUGGCAAGCUAGAGUCUCGUAGAGGGGGGUAGAAUUCCAGGUGUAGCGGUGAAAUGCGUAGAGAUCUGGAGGAAUACCGGUGGCGAAGGCGGCCCCCUGGACGAAGACUGACGCUCAGGUGCGAAAAGCGUGGGGAGCAAAACAGGAUUAGAUACCCUGGUAGUCCACGCUGUAAACGAUGUCGAUUUUGGAGGUUGUGCCCUUGAGGCGUGGCUUCCGGAGCUAACGCGUUAAAUCGACCGCCUGGGGAGUACGGCCGCAAGGUU